This 1242-nucleotide ribosomal RNA is filed under the name Escherichia coli. RNAcentral's name for it is "partial 23S ribosomal RNA". It matches the Rfam family "Bacterial large subunit ribosomal RNA", at positions 165 to 1445 of the family's 2925-position model. The record is from RNAcentral. Lineage: Bacteria; Pseudomonadati; Pseudomonadota; Gammaproteobacteria; Enterobacterales; Enterobacteriaceae.
CAUAGGUUAAUGAGGCGAACCGGGGGAACUGAAACAUCUAAGUACCCCGAGGAAAAGAAAUCAACCGAGAUUCCCCCAGUAGCGGCGAGCGAACGGGGAGGAGCCCAGAGCCUGAAUCAGUGUGUGUGUUAGUGGAAGCGUCUGGAAAGGCGCGCGAUACAGGGUGACAGCCCCGUACACAAAAAUGCACAUGCUGUGAGCUCGAUGAGUAGGGCGGGACACGUGGUAUCCUGUCUGAAUAUGGGGGGACCAUCCUCCAAGGCUAAAUACUCCUGACUGACCGAUAGUGAACCAGUACCGUGAGGGAAAGGCGAAAAGAACCCCGGCGAGGGGAGUGAAAAAGAACCUGAAACCGUGUACGUACAAGCAGUGGGAGCACGCUUAGGCGUGUGACUGCGUACCUUUUGUAUAAUGGGUCAGCGACUUAUAUUCUGUAGCAAGGUUAACCGAAUAGGGGAGCCGAAGGGAAACCGAGUCUUAACUGGGCGUUAAGUUGCAGGGUAUAGACCCGAAACCCGGUGAUCUAGCCAUGGGCAGGUUGAAGGUUGGGUAACACUAACUGGAGGACCGAACCGACUAAUGUUGAAAAAUUAGCGGAUGACUUGUGGCUGGGGGUGAAAGGCCAAUCAAACCGGGAGAUAGCUGGUUCUCCCCGAAAGCUAUUUAGGUAGCGCCUCGUGAAUUCAUCUCCGGGGGUAGAGCACUGUUUCGGCAAGGGGGUCAUCCCGACUUACCAACCCGAUGCAAACUGCGAAUACCGGAGAAUGUUAUCACGGGAGACACACGGCGGGUGCUAACGUCCGUCGUGAAGAGGGAAACAACCCAGACCGCCAGCUAAGGUCCCAAAGUCAUGGUUAAGUGGGAAACGAUGUGGGAAGGCCCAGACAGCCAGGAUGUUGGCUUAGAAGCAGCCAUCAUUUAAAGAAAGCGUAAUAGCUCACUGGUCGAGUCGGCCUGCGCGGAAGAUGUAACGGGGCUAAACCAUGCACCGAAGCUGCGGCAGCGACGCUUAUGCGUUGUUGGGUAGGGGAGCGUUCUGUAAGCCUGUGAAGGUGUGCUGUGAGGCAUGCUGGAGGUAUCAGAAGUGCGAAUGCUGACAUAAGUAACGAUAAAGCGGGUGAAAAGCCCGCUCGCCGGAAGACCAAGGGUUCCUGUCCAACGUUAAUCGGGGCAGGGUGAGUCGACCCCUAAGGCGAGGCCGAAAGGCGUAGUCGAUGGGAAACAGGUUAAUAUUCCUGUACU